RNAcentral lists this ribosomal RNA (526 nucleotides) under uncultured fungus. RNAcentral's name for it is "eukaryotic LSU rRNA". The stretch from base 169 to 322 matches the Rfam family "5.8S ribosomal RNA". Lineage: Eukaryota; Fungi. The record is from RNAcentral.
GAGGGAUCAUUACAAGUGACCCCGGUCUAACCACCGGGAUGUUCAUAACCCUUUGUUGUCCGACUCUGUUGCCUCCGGGGCGACCCUGCCUUCGGGCGGGGGCUCCGGGUGGACACUUCAAACUCUUGCGUAACUUUGCAGUCUGAGUAAACUUAAUUAAUAAAUUAAAACUUUUAACAACGGAUCUCUUGGUUCUGGCAUCGAUGAAGAACGCAGCGAAAUGCGAUAAGUAAUGUGAAUUGCAGAAUUCAGUGAAUCAUCGAAUCUUUGAACGCACAUUGCGCCCCCUGGUAUUCCGGGGGGCAUGCCUGUUCGAGCGUCAUUUCACCACUCAAGCCUCGCUUGGUAUUGGGCAACGCGGUCCGCCGCGUGCCUCAAAUCGACCGGCUGGGUCUUCUGUCCCCUAAGCGUUGUGGAAACUAUUCGCUAAAGGGUGUUCGGGAGGCUACGCCGUAAAACAACCCCAUUUCUAAAGUUGACCUCGGAUCAGGUAGGGAUACCCGCUGAACUUAAGCAUAUCAAUAAG